AUCAUAAUAGUAUAAGAAGUAUGUCUGAUUUCCAAUUAGAAGGUUAGGAAAAAUU
This 55-nucleotide transfer RNA is filed under the name Mesobuthus gibbosus (Mediterranean checkered scorpion). RNAcentral's name for it is "transfer RNA-Gly". The record is from RNAcentral. Lineage: Eukaryota; Metazoa; Arthropoda; Arachnida; Scorpiones; Buthidae.